Priapulus caudatus is the source of this 449-nucleotide long non-coding RNA. RefSeq lists it as uncharacterized. NCBI's taxonomy places the organism in Eukaryota, Metazoa, Priapulida, Priapulimorpha, Priapulimorphida, Priapulidae. The transcript has 3 exons. The record is from RefSeq and is a predicted model, not a curated record.
CACACACCUCCACGAGCAGAGAGCUCUGUGUGAGAAGGCACGGAUACGGUAACGGCAGGUGAUUACGCGAGCGACGUAAACAUAUUAGACGUGACAAAUGUGGUGAGGCGACGGUGGGGGUGAAAACAACAAACGGCGAAAGUCGGUCGAGUGACGGAAGAAACCGUUUAAAAGAGCGUCGUCUGCGACAUCACAUCGCACACCGACCAACAAGUCUUCUCCAACCACAUCAGCGGUACAACGCCUCCGAUCGUAAGAAAAGAUGAAGGUUCUCAUUCUCCUUGCUUGUGUAGCAUUUGCUGCGGCAUCUAACUAUAGCGGUCAGAGCUAUGGUGGAUACGGAGGCGGAGGCGGCGGUCGUCUAGGAGGAUACGGAGGCGGAUACGGCGGUAGUCUAGGAGGAUACGGAGGCGGAUACGGCGGUAGUCUAGGAGGAUACGGAGGCGGAU